ACGGAUCCUUCGGGAUUAGUGGCAGACGGGUGAGUAACGCGUGGGAAGCUACCUUGUGGUAGGGGACAACAGUUGGAAACGACUGCUAAUACCCUAUGAGCCCUAUGGGGGAAAGAUUUAUCGCCAUGAGAUGUGCCCGCGUUAGAUUAGCUAGUUGGUAAGGUAAUGGCUUACCAAGGCGACGAUCUAUAGCUGGUCUGAGAGGAUGAUCAGCCACACUGGGACUGAGACACGGCCCAGACUCCUACGGGAGGCAGCAGUGGGGAAUAUUGGACAAUGGGGGCAACCCUGAUCCAGCCAUGCCGCGUGUGUGAUGACGGCCUUAGGGUUGUAAAGCACUUUC
This 343-nucleotide ribosomal RNA is filed under the name Pseudovibrio sp. AU482_Ted1_MB20NH4. RNAcentral describes it as "bacterial SSU rRNA". It matches the Rfam family "Bacterial small subunit ribosomal RNA", at positions 66 to 437 of the family's 1533-position model. Lineage: Bacteria; Pseudomonadati; Pseudomonadota; Alphaproteobacteria; Hyphomicrobiales; Stappiaceae. The record is from RNAcentral.